Arachis ipaensis is the source of this 2503-nucleotide non-coding RNA. The record is from RefSeq and is a predicted model, not a curated record. Lineage: Eukaryota; Viridiplantae; Streptophyta; Magnoliopsida; Fabales; Fabaceae.
GUCUCCCCCAAAAUUUUAAUUUUCCACCUUUUUUUUCUCACACUUAAACUUUUUGUUUAACCUAGCAGAAGUGAUAAGCUCAUACAUACACUUCACCACAUCUCUACUUUUAACCCUAGCUAGAAGCCGUCGCACCCAGCGGCACUGUUCAUCACUGCCGAUUGCGAUAACCGUCGCACCACCCAGCUCGCCUUCGUCUAACCCUCACACCCAGCCCUCUUUGUGUCGCACCCUAGUUGUUUCUCAACGGUCUCUCACACCAUCAACGCUGCUCCGUCACACACCUAGGAAUCGGCUCUGCUCCGUCCACGCACCCUCGUUAGAUUCGGAACCUCCAUCGGCGAGGAGAAGAGGAAGAGGAAAACCUUAGAGGAGAAGCCCUCCGCCGAUUCCGCAAUCGAAGCUUCGGAGAAGAAGAGGAAGUACCACGAGUCAAUUGAAGAGGAGAAACAAGACUCACACCCUCUGUGUGAGGUGCGGCCACCGCAGCUUUCACCUCCAGAAGAGUCGCUGCUCCGCCUGCGCUUCCCCCACUGCACGCAAGAUGAAAUUACGAGAAGGUUGAGAAGAUUGGGGAAGGAACCUACGGCGUCGUUUACAAGGCUCCCGACCGCGUUACCAACGAGACCAUCGCUCUCAGGAAGAUUCGCCUUGAGCAGGAGGAUGAAGGCGUUCCUAGCACGCAUUUCGCGAGAUUCUCUCCUCAUGGAAACGCAGCACAGGAAUAUUGUUAGAUUGUGUUCAACUUUUCGGGUUACACUGAAACACUUGACCAGAAAUCUGAUAUUGUGGUCCUUGAAGAUGAUCAUGGCCUCUAUGCAAUUGAUAUUCUAGACCCAUCCUUGCUUACGAAAUGUAUACAUUUGACCGAGGUGUAUCAUUUCCAUGAUAUGAUUGACAUGCUUGUUGGGUGUGGCUACAAGAAAGGAACCACAUUGCUUGGUUAUGGUUAUGACUUCAGGCAAAGCAAUAGAAUUGACAAGCUGAUGGAUGGCCUUAAAGCCAAGUUGUAAACUGCUUGCAAAGCCACUGGUGGAAGGAAAGUUAACUUGUUACUUUUCUUUGUUGAUGUUAUUUCUGGCUUGAAUGUAGCUCUAAUUAAUUUUUAUGAAUCUGUAUUUGUUUAAUUGCAUAGUUUCUCAGUGCUAGGAGUAUUAAUGCAUUUCGUUAGUGCUCACUGUUGGCUAAAACAAUGCUGCAGGUGUAAUAUGACCUUGUAUUACCUGUGAUGAAUAUGUGUUUUCUUUCUUUCCUUUUAACCAAUAAUCAUUGAUCACAUACACACUACUUUUGCUGUAUGUUGCCACAAGACUACGAGAGCAUAGGUUUUGUCUUCUCCUCAUAAAUUUGGAAAGAAAUGACUAUAAGCUUUUUCGACUCCUUGUGUGCCUUUCUCUUGAUUUAAGUUUAUUAUGCUGAGUUUUGGUUGUUUAAAUAAUAUUGUUGAAGUAAAAUAGACCUAGAAGAAAGUCACAUUGAAUAAUCACGGUUGGGCAUUUCAUAAAUUACAUUUGAGCCUUGAGAAGGUGUGAAUAAGAUGUUGAGUCGAAUGCAUUAUUUAUACCUAACAUGCAUUAUUUAGGAUAUAAUUUUUUUCAUGAUUAAUUAUAACAUGUGAUUAACUCCGAUUUCUGUACUUUAUUAUAUUCAUGCACCCUUUUUGGCUCUGAACUUAUUCUUGCCGCCUAAAGAAUCUUAUUUUGGUUUAUAGAAGUAAUGUUUGACAUUUAAUGCUUCAUAUAUAGACAAAAUGGAUUUUGAUGAAAAAGAGAAAGAAAAUUCAAUUCACCUAAGGGAUAGAUAUGGUUUGGUUAGGUUUUGUGUACUAAAUUAUAGGUACAAGGGGGAAGGUCCUGGUUCUCUGGAUCUGAAAGGUGAUAGAAAAGAGCAAAUAAUAUGAAAUGCCAAUAGGCACUGAGGCAGAGAAUAAAAAAUGCCAAUAGCAAUGCAGAUUGCUAGGUAUUCAAGUUUCUUUUCAGCUUCAAAUUAUGCCUCGUUCAGGUUUUUCGAAGUUGAUUGUGAUUUCUUUCUUUUGUAUUCUCUCCAGGGAGUUCCAUUACAAAUAAAUCACAAAACUCCUCCGCAACCAGCUGCUCGCCUCUGUCUCGUGGUUCUGCUCGCCUCUGUCUCGAGGUUCUGCUCGCCGUGCUGCUCGAAGGUGGAUGAAACUUCUUAAUCUGUUCUUCUUAGAUUCAUAUCUUCAAAGGAGUUUGUGCAAAGGAGUUGAUGAUUGACCAGCCUUGAAGUUUGGUAAAUGUGGUGAUUCAUAUCUUCAAAAUUUGCUUCAGGAUGAUGAGAGCCACAAUCACACACAGAGUUUUAAAGCAAAUGGUAGCAAGAGUUUUUCCCACAUCAACUUUUUGUUAAUCAUAGUUCUGAUGUAUAUCACUUUUUGGUUUUUCAUCCUUCAUAUCUUUGGGAAUAUUACAGUUUUAAUUUAAAUUAUUAUUAUAGCAUGUACAUAAUUCAUGUAAAUCAAUAAAAAAUCAAUUCUUAUGCAUUC